RNAcentral lists this transfer RNA (77 nucleotides) under Candidatus Omnitrophota bacterium. Its description in RNAcentral is "tRNA-His". It matches the Rfam family "tRNA". Rfam says of the family: Transfer RNA (tRNA) molecules are approximately 80 nucleotides in length. Their secondary structure includes four short double-helical elements and three loops (D, anti-codon, and T loops). Further hydrogen bonds mediate the characteristic L-shaped molecular structure. tRNAs have two regions of fundamental functional importance: the anti-codon, which is responsible for specific mRNA codon recognition, and the 3' end, to which the tRNAs corresponding amino acid is attached (by aminoacyl-tRNA synthetases). tRNAs cope with the degeneracy of the genetic code in two manners: having more than one tRNA (with a specific anti-codon) for a particular amino acid; and 'wobble' base-pairing, i.e. permitting non-standard base-pairing at the 3rd anti-codon position. The record is from RNAcentral. Lineage: Bacteria; Pseudomonadati; Candidatus Omnitrophota.
GUGGGUGUAGCUCAGCCCGGUAGAGCGCUUGACUGUGGCUCAAGAAGUCGCGGGUUCAAAUCCCGUCACCUACCCCA